GAACGCUGGCGGCAUGCCUAAGACAUGCAAGUCGAACGAGGUGGCCCAAUGAAGAUGGAGUGCUUGCACAAGUUGGAUUUGGUUACCACCUAGUGGCAGACGGGUGAGUAACACGUGGGUGACCUACCUUUUAGUUGGGGAUAACAGUUGGAAACGAUUGCUAAUACCGAAUAAGAUAUAACCGUCGAGGUUAUAUUGAAAAGGAGCCUUUAAAGCUUCACUUAAAGAUGGGCCUGCGGCGUAUUAACUAGUUGGUGAGGUAAUGGCUCACCAAGGUGACGAUGCGUAGCCGGACUGAGAGGUUGAACGGCCACACUGGAACUGAGAUACGGUCCAGACUCCUACGGGAGACAGCAGUUAGGAAUAUUCGUCAAUGGGGGAAACCCUGAACGAGCAAUGCCGCGUGAGUGAUGACGGUCCUUUGGAUUGUAAAACUCUGUUGUAUGGGAAGAAUGACCAAACUAGGAAAUGAGUUUGGAGUGACGGUACCAUGCCAGAAAGCCCCGGCUAACUACGUG
This 518-nucleotide ribosomal RNA is filed under the name uncultured bacterium. RNAcentral describes it as "bacterial SSU rRNA". It matches the Rfam family "Bacterial small subunit ribosomal RNA", at positions 31 to 507 of the family's 1533-position model. The record is from RNAcentral.